Molecule: small nuclear RNA, 191 nt
Filed under: Sinocyclocheilus rhinocerous
Lineage: Eukaryota; Metazoa; Chordata; Actinopteri; Cypriniformes; Cyprinidae
Description: U2 spliceosomal RNA (ENSSRHG00000049864.1)
Rfam family: U2 spliceosomal RNA
About the family: U2 is a small nuclear RNA (snRNA) component of the spliceosome (involved in pre-mRNA splicing).
Source: Rfam by way of RNAcentral
AUCGUUUCUCGGCCUUUUGGGUAAAAUCAAGUGUAGUAUCUGUUCUCAUCAGUAUGAUAUCUGAUAUGGUCUCUGUUCAGAGACUAUAUAUUAAAUUGGUUUUUGUAGUUAAAAGCUGGGAUAGAGGCUUGCUACGUCGACUCCACACAUUGGUUGGGUAUUGCAGUGUUUCCAGGAACGGUGCAUACCUU